GAUGAACGCUAGCGGCAGGCCUAAUACAUGCAAGUCGAGGGGCAGCGGGGUGUAGCAAUACACUGCCGGCGACCGGCAAACGGGUGCGGAACACGUACAGAACCUUCCUUCGAGCGGGGAAUAGCCCAGAGAAAUUUGGAUUAAUACCCAUAGUAUAUUGGAGUGGCAUCACUUUGAUAUUAAAGAUUUAUCACUUGAAGAUGGCUGUGCGUCUGAUUAGGUAGUUGGUGGGGUAACGGCCCACCAAGCCAACGAUCAGUAACUGGUGUGAGAGCACGACCAGUCACACGGGCACUGAGACACGGGCCCGACUCCUACGGGAGGCAGCAGUAAGGAAUAUUGGUCAAUGGACGCAAGUCUGAACCAGCCAUGCCGCGUGGAGGAUGAAGGUCCUCUGGAUUGUAAACUUCUUUUUAUCUGGGACGAAAAAGGGAAUUCUUCUCGUCUGACGGUACCAGAUGAAUAAGCACCGGCUAACUCCGUGCCAGCAGCCGCGGUAAUACGGAGGGUGCAAGCGUUAUCCGGAUUCACUGGGUUUAAAGGGUGCGUAGGCGGUGUGUAAGUCCGUGGUGAAAUCUCCGAGCUUAACUCGGAAACUGCCAUGGGUACUGCAUGUCUUGAAUGUUGUGGAGGUGAGCGGAAUAUGUCAUGUAGCGGUGAAAUGCUUAGAUAUGACAUAGAACACCAAUUGCGAAGGCAGCUCACUACACAAAUAUUGACGCUGAGGCACG
RNAcentral lists this ribosomal RNA (731 nucleotides) under uncultured bacterium. RNAcentral describes it as "bacterial SSU rRNA". It matches the Rfam family "Bacterial small subunit ribosomal RNA", at positions 28 to 755 of the family's 1533-position model. The record is from RNAcentral.